GUGGGGAAUUUUGGACAAUGGGGGAAACCCUGAUCCAGCGACGCCGCGUGAAGGAUGAAGGCCUUCGGGUUGUAAACUUCUUUUGGAGGGGACGAAUAAAUUGACGGUACCCUCAGAAAAAGCCACGGCUAACUACGUGCCAGCAGCCGCGGUAAUACGCAGGUGGCGAGCGUUACUCGGAAUUACUAGGCGUAAAGCGUAUGUAGGCGGUUGUAUAAGUCUAUGGUGAAAUUUCCUGGCUCAACUGGGAAGGGACAUAGAUACUGUAUGGCUUGAGUGUUGGAGGGGGAGACGGAAUUCCUGGUGUAGCGGUGAAAUGCGUAGAUAUCAGGAGGAACACCGAUGGCGAAAGCAGUCUCCUGGCCAAAUACUGACGCUGAGGUACGAAAGCUAGGGUAGCAAACAGGAUUAGAAACCCUAGUAGUCC
This 427-nucleotide ribosomal RNA is filed under the name uncultured bacterium. RNAcentral's name for it is "partial 16S ribosomal RNA". It matches the Rfam family "Bacterial small subunit ribosomal RNA", at positions 354 to 796 of the family's 1533-position model. The record is from RNAcentral.